UAAGGAAUAUUGGUCAAUGGACGCAAGUCUGAACCAGCCAUGCCGCGUGGAGGAUGAAGGUCCUCUGGAUUGUAAACUUCUUUUAUCGGAGAAGAAACCCGACUUUUCUAAGGCGGUUGACGGUACCCGAUGAAUAAGCACCGGCUAACUCCGUGCCAGCAGCCGCGGUAAUACGGAGGGUGCAAGCGUUAUCCGGAUUCACUGGGUUUAAAGGGUGCGUAGGUGGGAUGGUAAGUCAGUGGCGAAAUCUCCAAGCUUAACUUGGAAACUGCCGUUGAUACUAUCAUUCUUGAAUAUUGUGGAGGUAAGCGGAAUAUGUCAUGUAGCGGUGAAAUGCUUAGAUAUGACAUAGAACACCGAUAGCGAAGGCAGCUUGCUACACAAUUAUUGACACUGAGGCACGAAAGCGUGGGGAUCAAAC
This 421-nucleotide ribosomal RNA is filed under the name uncultured bacterium. RNAcentral's name for it is "bacterial SSU rRNA". It matches the Rfam family "Bacterial small subunit ribosomal RNA", at positions 355 to 773 of the family's 1533-position model. The record is from RNAcentral.